Unclassified non-coding RNA from Piliocolobus tephrosceles (Ugandan red Colobus), 203 nucleotides. It matches the Rfam family "Metazoan signal recognition particle RNA". From Rfam's summary of the family: The signal recognition particle (SRP) is a universally conserved ribonucleoprotein. It is involved in the co-translational targeting of proteins to membranes. The record is from Ensembl. NCBI's taxonomy places the organism in Eukaryota, Metazoa, Chordata, Mammalia, Primates, Cercopithecidae.
GGGUUGGAAGAGACCUUUAGAACAGCAGGUUGUUAUGCCAACCGGGUGUCUGCACUAAGUUUGGCAUCAAUAUGGUGACCUCCUGGGAGCAGGGGGCCACCAGGUUGCCUAAGGAUGAGUGAACUGGCCCAGAUCAGAAAGGGAGCGGGUCAGAACUCCCGCACCAACCGGUAGUGUGACUGUGCCUGGGCAAUACAGAAGAU